This 261-nucleotide ribosomal RNA is filed under the name uncultured bacterium. Its description in RNAcentral is "partial 16S ribosomal RNA". It matches the Rfam family "Bacterial small subunit ribosomal RNA", at positions 97 to 354 of the family's 1533-position model. The record is from RNAcentral.
CCGGCACGGGUGAGUAACACGUAUGAAACCUGCCCGUAGCAGGGGGAUAAGCGGGAGAAAUCCCGUCUAAUACCGCGUAAUGCCGCGGGGCUGCAUGGCCCUGCGGCCAAAGGGAGCGAUUCCGGCAACGGAUGGGCAUGCGUGACAUUAGCUAGUUGGCGGGGCAACGGCCCACCAAGGCGACGAUGUCUAGGGGUUCUGAGAGGAAGGUCCCCCACACUGGUACUGAGACACGGACCAGACUCCUACGGAAGGCAGCAG